Jatropha curcas is the source of this 1762-nucleotide RNA transcript. It is a transcript of the gene named tRNA (Ile)-lysidine synthase, with no coding region annotated. The record is from RefSeq and is a predicted model, not a curated record. NCBI's taxonomy places the organism in Eukaryota, Viridiplantae, Streptophyta, Magnoliopsida, Malpighiales, Euphorbiaceae.
AGAAACAAAGAAAAUCAGCGAUAGAUAAUGGCAGCCUCUGGCAUGCUCUACACAGACACAGAAUCUUAAGAAGGAAAACGGAAAAUGGUGGCGAUUUCGCUUUACAGAGGGAACCUGCACAGAGUUCCAGACGUACCUCGUCGAUGGCUAAUGCCAGCGCGUCAAAUCUCCCUCAAAGACUUCAAAUCCCUCUUGGAUCGCCGCUCCAAGGCCCUCUCUCGUCUCCGACCCUCUACCAACGCCGUCGCCACCACUUCAAAUCACAACCCUAAACCUAACCCUGAUCCUAACACAAAGGAGAACGGGAUUCCUAUUACGCCUGAGUUGAAAGUCGACAAGGUGAAUAAUAAUGAAGAGGAAGGCACUUCCAAUGGUUUAGUUUCUGAGGAGGUCAAGGAUCAGGUAGGUUUGGAGUAUGGUGAAUGCUCUGUUAGACCUGCUGAUGUUUCUAAUUCGUUGCUUCCUCCUGAGAAGCCUGAGGUAGCUGAGAAAAGCGAUGAGGCAGUUACUGGCGAUGGGAAUUUACGGCCCCGAAAAGAGGAUUUGUCAGUUAAUCCUAAUACGGAGACGGAGAUGUGCAAAACGGAUGUGAUAAAUCAUGAUAAAGAGAAUAGGAAAAAGGAAGUUGAGGAGAAGUUACUAGUUUUGAAUGAGAAGAAGCAUAGUCUGGUGCAAGUGCUAAAGCAGAUCUUGAAUGUUGAGGAGGAAUUAAAGAGACGAAAUAGCGUGCAAGGAAUGGCAAUUCGCCCAUCUGUUCCUCUUCAAGUGGAUGUUACAAAUGAUUCUGGGUCAUUGAGUAGGCAUGCUACUCCUAGGAUGGGCUCAGAGGCAAAUCUUGGUGGUGACAUGGAAGGGGCAGAAACUGAGGAUGUGUCAAAACCUAGUAAUCAAUCUCGCCAUAUCCAUCGAAUGAGCAGUACAUCUCCAUCAUCAGAGUCUCCUCUAAGAAAGCCUCCCUACAUUCAGCAUAAUGUGGUUCCACAUCCCUCAAGGCCAAGUUUGGGGGCCACCAGCAGUCCAUCGCGCUUCGCUCUGACUGGGCACCAAGGCCCUCCUGCAAGUGUUCCCACGGUGUCUGUAUCAGGAACAAAUUAUGUUGCAUCUUCACCUUCCCCUGCAGCUUCUGGUGGCACUUCAGCUUUUAGAGAUGCCCGGCAGCCAAGUCCAUGGAAUUAGAAGUUGGGUGAUGGCAUGAUUCGAAGUAAAUCUAUUCUUUUGUUGUUUGGCUUUGUUGCUGAACUUCAGUCUUAUUGUAGACCAGUAAGCAUAUUGAAUGCUGAAGCCUUUAAAGUUUCCACUAAAGCGGAGUCUUUCCAUGGUUUAGCCAGUCCACCAAGUUGAAGAUCUCAAGCAGUGUCACAUUUUUGCUUUCUCAGAUCAUUGACUACUUGAGCAUUCACUGGCUGGGACCAGAGUUUCAGCAGUCCACUUGACUUGAGAGCAGAGAGAGCUAUGCACUCACUUUUGUCACCAACUCAUAAAUUCCUGUUGAUAGAGUAAUUGCUAUCGCAAAAGGAGUUAACAUUCUUUUACUAGUUCUGUCCAUCGGAUCCAACUCUAUAGGCCUCAAAUUUGAGCAUAUGAUAUCUUUAGCAUAAACUCUAUAAUACCUAAAACAGUAUACAUUACAAUUUACAAACAAUCCCAUCAUUUUUGCAAAUGGUGGACUCGUCUACAAAUUGUCAUUUUGACGCUGUCUCUAGGCUGAUAUUAUUAUUAGGCAAUGACUAUGAAAUUCGCAUGUUAAAGGGAAAAAAAAAAA